ACUAGUAUUGAAGUCCACGGGGGAUCAGGCUUUCCGAAAGGAGGGUGGGGGGAUGUUUGGUUUCCCCCUGCUUGGGCAGACUGGAGAGCAUUGUGUAGCCACUUUUGUUGGCUACGUUAUGUUUGGCCUCUGCUGAUCGAGCUUGUCACCUGAAUUCUACUACCCUUGCUUUUUGCGCACCCAUUGUUUCCUCGGUAGGCUUGCCUGCCAGUAGGACCAUUUUAAAAACCCUUUGUGAUUGCAAUCAGCGUCAGAAAACAACGUAAUCGUUAC
RNAcentral lists this unclassified non-coding RNA (273 nucleotides) under soil metagenome. RNAcentral's name for it is "partial internal transcribed spacer 1". The record is from RNAcentral.